RNAcentral lists this ribosomal RNA (611 nucleotides) under uncultured Lachnospiraceae bacterium. RNAcentral describes it as "bacterial SSU rRNA". It matches the Rfam family "Bacterial small subunit ribosomal RNA", at positions 89 to 718 of the family's 1533-position model. The record is from RNAcentral. Lineage: Bacteria; Bacillati; Bacillota; Clostridia; Lachnospirales; Lachnospiraceae.
GACUGAGUGGCGGACGGGUGAGUAACGCGUGGGUAACCUGCCUCAUACAGGGGGAUAACAGUUAGAAAUGACUGCUAAUACCGCAUAAGCGCACAGUGCUGCAUGGCACAGUGUGAAAAACUCCGGUGGUAUGAGAUGGACCCGCGUCUGAUUAGCUAGUUGGUGGGGUAACGGCCUACCAAGGCGACGAUCAGUAGCCGGCCUGAGAGGGUGAACGGCCACAUUGGGACUGAGACACGGCCCAAACUCCUACGGGAGGCAGCAGUGGGGAAUAUUGCACAAUGGGGGAAACCCUGAUGCAGCGACGCCGCGUGAGCGAAGAAGUAUUUCGGUAUGUAAAGCUCUAUCAGCAGGGAAGAAAAUGACGGUACCUGACUAAGAAGCACCGGCUAAAUACGUGCCAGCAGCCGCGGUAAUACGUAUGGUGCAAGCGUUAUCCGGAUUUACUGGGUGUAAAGGGAGCGUAGACGGUUGUGUAAGUCUGAUGUGAAAGCCCGGGGCUCAACCCCGGGACUGCAUUGGAAACUAUGUAACUAGAGUGUCGGAGAGGUAAGCGGAAUUCCUAGUGUAGCGGUGAAAUGCGUAGAUAUUAGGAGGAACACCAGUGGCGA